GAUGAGGUUUGUCCGGUGGCAAUCGGUUUGGUUAUUUGUUAUAUACAUCUCCUUACCCUUGAAUUGUUAAAAAUUGGUUCAUCUUAUUUGUUUUUGAUUUGUGAGAUUCAAUUCGAUCGGGACAAGCGGGAGCGAUCAGUGUUUGGGAGUUCUUUCUGGGUUUUUGUUUUGUGAGAUUCAAUUCCCAAUUAGUUCUGUUUCUCUUCGAAUUUCUGAUUCGUUGUUUGUAUGUCAAUGUCGGCAAUGUCCGGGUAAUGAUCAUAGGGGAACGCCUGGUCUCAAUGUUCUUAUCCUUUCUUUCCUUCCUUCCUUCCUUGUGUGUGGUUUAUUUAUUUAUUUAUUUUGUUCUCAUCCUGUUUCUUGUGUAGUACAGUUAUAUGAGUUCUUAAUUGCAAUCCUUUGAUUAAUUUUCAAUUUUAAGAAAUUCAAAGCUGGUGAGGUCCAUUCUUAGAUGCGAUUUUGGGGAAUUAAGCUUUGCCGAUUCUGAGGUUUUCGUUGUGAGAUUUCCCCUAUGCUAUGAUCUCUGUGUUUAUGUUUUAUGUUUCCCCUGUUGAAAAGGUGUGGUGUUAGUUGUCAAGAUAACACGGAUGGGCAUCUAAAUACAAUGCUUCGAUGUUUGUGGUCGGCAAGUUGCAGCAGUUCCCAGGUCUUUGGAAAUAGGUAUUGGAUAUUUCGGUCUCUUGGAGCUUUGUCAAAACUGCUGAUAUGUGGAAGUUCAGAUGCUUACUUUCUAUGAUGAUCCGACUUAUGGUUAUGGACACCCGUUAAGUACUCAAAAGUAAUCCUGGAUCUUUGAUAGAGCCAUGAAGUGCUCCUUUACUUUUGGGUUUCUAGCUACUUAUUUUCUCUCUGCUUCCGUUUUCUUUUGAUUAUCACACCAGCUUGAUUUUGUUUGUUGGAUGAAUCCGUAGAUCACACGGUGACAGAUAAAGAGGAUUAGAUUUGGAAAAUUUGUAUUCGUUCGUGUGCAAGUCCUUUUCGUGCCUGCACUGCAAUCUGGAUAAAAAGGGGGUUUCGAAUCUUGUCUUGGGCAUCUUUUCUAGUGAUUUCUUAGGUGGUAUGGGUUUCAUCAGCGUUGCUGUUCUUUUAACUGUUCCCUUCUUUCUGUGUUUGCAGCAGUCAUUGGGUCUUGCAGAGCCAUGAAUUGUGCUUUCAUGGACGGUCUUGUUUGUUCAUUUGUGUCAAGGUUCCUUUAGUUCAGACUUUUAUGAGUAAGAAGAUUUUCAUUUCUCAACCAAAAUAGUUUUUUUUUUUUUCAACUAGUGUUGUAUUUUGCUGCCAUUUUUAGUUUUUUAGUCCAAAUUCUUAUGGCUCUGACCAUCCAACUGAUGGGGCCCUGGUGGGUGAUGGUUAUGGACACCUGAUUAAGCACUUGAAGUCAGUUCUGGAUAUUUCGAUAGCCCCGUAAAGUGCUCCUCUCUUUUGGUGUUCUCGCUGCUUAUUUUCUCUGCUGCCGUUUCUUCUGUUUAUCACGCAAGCUUGAUUUUGUUUGUUGGAUGGAUGUGUGGUAACAGUUAAGAGGAUUAGAUUUGAAAUGGAAAUUUCAAAGGUUGGUGUCCAGUAUGUGUUUGUGUGCAGUUCUUCGUUGUUUAAUAUGUCGAAAGUUUGGAAAAUAAGUCAAAUUUCCAGAUCAAGAGGUUGAGGUCUGAAUUCCAGUGGAGAAUACAUGUCAAAGGUGUUUGCUGGUUUAUUGCCAUUUUGGUGCUUGUGACAAAAAGGGGGUUUCGAAUCUUGUGUCUGGCAUUUUUCCUAGUGAUUUCUUAGGUAGUAGGGGUUACAUCAGCUUUGCACUUAACUGUUCCCUUCUUUCUGUGCUUGCAGCAGCCAUUACAGAGCCAUGAAUUAUGCUUUUCAUGGAACGGCCUUGUUUGUCCAUUUGUGUUGAGGUUCCUUUAGUUCAGGCCUUUAUGAGUACAGAUAUUUUCAUUUCUCAACCAAAAUAUUUUUAUUCACUAGUGUUUGUUGUAUUCUUCUGCCAUUUUUAGUUUUUUAGUACAGAUGCUUAUGUUCUUUGACCAUCCAACUGAUGAGGCCCUGGUGGUUGAUGGUUAUGGACACCUGGUUGAGUACUUGAAGAUGUUCUGGAUAUUUCGAUAGCCCCGUAAAGUGCUCCUCUUUUUUGGUGUUCUUGCUGCUUAUUUUCUCUGCUGCCAUUUCUUCUGUUUAUCACGCGAGCUUGUUUUGUUUGUUGGAUGGAGUGUGGUCACAGUUAAAGGGGAUUAGAUUUGGAAAAUGGAAAUUUCAAAGAUUGGUACUUGCACUACAAUCUGGAUAUUGUCUUGCUUCGAUAAAAAGGGGGUUUUUGAAUCUUGUCUCGCGCAUUUUUUCUAUUGAUUUCUUCGGUGGUAUGGUUACAUCAGCUUUGCACUUAAUUCUUCCCUUCUUUCUGUGCUUGCAGCAGCCAUUGGGUCUUACAGAGCCAUGAAUUAUCCUUUUCAUGGAGCGGCCUUGUUGUCCGUUUGUGUUGAGGUUUCUUUAGUUCAGUCUUUUAUGAGUACAAAAAUUUUCAUUUCUCAACUGUAAUAGUUUUUUUUUUUUUUAACUAGUGUUUGGUGUAUUUUGCUGCCAUUUUUAGUUUUUAAUCCAGAUGCUUAUGGUCUUUGACAAUCCAACUGUUGAGGCCCUGGUUGUUGAUGGUUAUGAACACACCUGAUUAAGUACUCAAAGUCAGUUUUGGAUAUUUCAAUAGCCCUGUAAAGUGCUCCUCUUGUUUGGUGUUCUCGCUGCUUAUUCUCUGCAUCCGUUUUCUUUGCAAUUAGUUCUGUUUCUUUUUUAAAUUGUUGAUUUGUGAUUCGUUGUUUGUUUGUCAACGUGCAAAUGUUUGAUCAGGUCUGGGUAAUGAUCAUAGGAUAACGUUUUAGGUACCUUGGUCUUAAUGUUCUUAUCCUUUCUUUCCUUCUUUGUCUGUGGUUUAUUUAUUUAUUUUGUUCUCAUCCUGUUUCUUGUUUUUACAGUUAUCUGAGUUCCUAAUUGCAAUCCUUUGAUUAAUUUUCAAUUUUAAGAAAUUCAAAGCUGGUGAGGUCCAUUCUUAGAUGCAAUUUUGGGGAAUUUAGCUUUGGCGAUUUUGAGGUUUUUGUUAUGUUUCCCCUUGAUGAUUGGAUGUUGCUCUUAUUCCGUAUUUUGAAAAGGUGUGCUGAUGCACCUUGUUUUGUUGUGAGAUAUCCUCUAUCACUCCUUUGAAACCUUGCAAUUUCCUUUUGUUGAAUUAGAAUACAAGUAGAACUGGAAAUGUCGAUCCCCAUGCCGCACUCAACCACAGGGUGGAGCUAUCAGUUUGAAUUUGAUAUCUUGACUUUCAUUCUUUAAGCUAAAUUUGAUGCCAGUGUAGUUUUACUCCUUGAAUCUACUUUGUUUACCUUCUUAUUCGGCUCGGUCAUCAAUGGAUCUCAUUUCGACGUGUGGUGUCAAGAUAACAUGGAUGGGCAUCUAAAUGCAAUGCUUCGGUGUUUGUUGUCGGGAAGUUGCAGCAGUUCCCAGGUCUUUGGAAAUAGUAUAUUUCGGUCUCUUGGAGCUUUGUCAAAACUGCUGCUAUGUGGAAGUUCAGGUGCUUACUUUUUUUGAUGAUCCGACUUAUGGUUAUGGACACCUGUUAAGUACUCAAAAGUCAAUCCUGGAUUUUUGAUAGUGCCGUGAAGUGCUCCUUUACUUUUGGGUUUCUAGCUACUUUUCUCUCUGCUUCCGUUUUCUUUUGGUUGUCACACCAGCUUGAUUUUGUUUGUUGGAUGAAUGCGUAGAUCGCACGGUGACGGACAGAGGAUUAGAUUUGGAAAAUUUGUAUGCUUUCGUGUGCACGUCCUUUUCGUGCCUGCAAUGCGAUCUGGAUAUUAUCGGGCUUCGAUGAAAAGGGGGUUUCGAAUCUUGUCUCUGGCAUCUUUUCUAGUGAUUUUUUAGGUAGUAGGGAUUACAUCAGCUUUGCACUUGACUGUUCCCUUCUUUCUGUGCUUGCAGCAGCCAUUGCAGAGCCAUGAAUUAUGCUUUUCAUGGAACGGCCUUGUUUGUCCAUUUGUGUUGAGGUUCCUUUCGUUCAGGCCUUUAUGAGUACAGAUAUUUUCAUUUCUCAACCAAAAUAGUUUUUUUCAGUAGUGUUUGCUGUAUUCUGCUGCCAUUUUUAGUUUUUAGUACAGAUGCUUAUGUUCUUUGACCAUCCAACUGAUGGGCCCCUUGUGAUUGAUGGUUAUGGCCAUCUGAUUAAGACUUGAAGUCAGUUCUGGAUAUUUCGUUAGCCCCGUAAAGUGCGCCUCUUUUUGGUUUUCUCGCUGCUUAUUUUCUCUGCUGCUGUUUCUUCUGUUUAUCACACAAGCUUGAUUUUGUUUGUUGGAUGGAUGUGUGAGGAGGAUUAGAUUUGAAAGAGAAAGUUUCAAAGGUUGGUGGCCAGUAUGCGUUUGUGUGCACCCGGUUUCUUGCCAUUUUGGUGCUUGCACUACAAUCUGGAUAUUGUCGGGCUUCGACAAAAAGGGGGUUUCGAAUCUUGUGUCUGGCAUUUUUCCUAGUGAUUUCUUAGGUAGUAGGGGUUACAUCAGCUUUUGUACUUAACUGUUCCCUUCUUUCUAUGCUUGCAGCAGCCAUUGGGUCUUACAGAACCAUGAAUGCUUUUUGUGGAACGGCCUUGUUUGUCCAUUUGUGUCGAGGUUCCUUCAGCUCAGGCUUUUAUGAGUACAUAAUUAUCAUUUCUCAACCAAAAUAGUUUUUUUCACUAGUGUUUGUUUAUUCUGGUGCCAUUUUUAGUUUUUUAGUACAGAUGCUUAUGUUCUUUGACCAUCCAACUGAUGAGGCCCUGGUGGUUGAUGGUUAUGGACACCUGAUUAAGUACUUGAAGUCAGUUCUGGAUAUUUCGAUAGCCCCGUAAAGUGCUCUCUCUUUGGUGUUCUCGCUGCUUAUUUCUCUGCUGCCGUUUUUCUGUUUAUCUGUGCUUGAUUUUGUUUGUUGGAUGGAUGUGUGGUAACAGUUGAAGAGGAUUAGAUUUGGAAAUUUCAAAGGUUGGUGUCCAGUAUGCGUUUGUGUGCACCCUGUUUCUUGCCAUUUUGGUGCUUGCACUACAAUCUGGAUAUUGUCUUUGCUGCGACAAAAAGGGGGUUUCGAAUCUUGUCUCUGGCAUUUUUCCUAGUGAUUUCUUAGGUAGUAUGGGUUACAUCAGCUUUGCACUUAACUCUUCCCUUCUUUCUGUGCUUGCAGCCAUUGAGUCUUUCAGAGCCAUGAAUUAUUCUUUUCAUGGAGCGGCUUGUUUGUCCAUUUGUGCUGAGGUUUCUUUAGUUCAGGCUUUUAUGAGUACAUAAAUUUUCAUUUCUCAACUACAAUAGUUUUUUCGCUAGUGUUGUAUUCUGCUGCCAUCUUUGUUUUUAGUCCAGAUGCUUAUGUUCUUUGACCAUCCAACUGAUGAGGCCCUGGCGGUUGAUGGUUAUGGACAUCUGAUUAAGUUCUAAAGUCAGUUCUGGAUAUUUUGUUAGCCCCGUAAAGUGCUCCUUUGUUCUGGUUUUCUCGCUACUUAUUUUCUCUGUUUCCGUUCUCUUCUGUGAAUCACGCAGCUUGAUUUUGUUUCUUGGAUGGAUGUCUGGUAACAGUUAAGAAAAUUAGAUUUGGAAAUUUCAGAGGUUGGUGUCCAGUAUGCGUUUCUGUGCACCCGGUUUCUUGCCAUUUUGGUGCUUGCACUACAAUCUGGAUAUUGUCUUGCUGCGACAGAAAGGGGGUUUCGAAUCUUGCCUCUAGCAUUUUUUCUAGUGAUUUCUUAGGUUUGUUUCUUGGAUGGAUGUGUGGUAACAGUUAAGAGGAGUAGAUUUAGAAAUUUCAAAGGUUUGGUGUCCAGUAUGCAUUUGUGUGCACCCUGUUUCUUGCCAUUUUGGUGCUUGCACUACAAUCUGAUCUUGCUUCGACAAAAAGGUGGUCUCAAAUCUUGUCUCUGGUAUUUUUCCUAGUGAUUUCUUAGGUGGUAGGGGUUACUUCAGCUUUGCUCUGAACUGUUCCCCUCUUUCUGUGCUUUCAGUAGCCAUUGGGUCUUACAGAGCCAUGAAUUAUUCUUUUCAUGGAGCGGCCUUGUUUGUUCAUUUGUGAGGUUUCUUUAGUUUAGGCUUUUAUGAGUACAGAAAUUUUCAUUUCUCAACUAAAAUAGUUUUCUCUCUCUAGUGUUUGUUGUGUUCUGCUGCCAUUUUUAGUGUUUAGUCCAGAUGCUUAUGUUCUUCGACGAUCCAACUGAUGAGGCCUUGGUGGUUGAUUAUGGACCUGAUUAAGUACUCUGUUCAGUUCCGGAUAUUUCGAUAGCCCCGUAAAGUGCUCCUCUCUUUUGUUGUUCCCGCUGCUUAUUUUCUCUGCUGCUGUAUUCUUCUGUUUAUCAGGCUAGCUUGAUUUUGUUCGUUGGAUGGAUGUGCAUUCCUCUACACCCUGUUCCUUGCCAUUUUGGUGCUUGUACUCCAAUCUGGAUAUUGUCAGGCUUCGACAAAAAAGGGGGUUUUCAACCUGGCUCUUGCAUAUCUAGUGAUAUCUGAGGUGGUAUGGGUUUUGUCAGCUUUGCACUUAACUGUUCCCUUCUUUCUGUGCUUGCAGCCAUGAGCAGUGACUUCUUUUCGUGGAGCGAUCAUGUUUGUCUAUUUGAGCUAAGGUUCUUUAGUUCAGUCUUUUAUGAGUAUCGAGAUUUUCAUUCAGUUCUCUUUCCUAAUGGUCCCUGUUCUCUUUGUUGAAAGUUGAAACUACUGUUGUAUUGAAGUUUCUCAAAGAUAAUAUUUUUCACCAGUGUGUUAUAUUCUGCUGCGAUGAAGUUUUAACUCCAGAUGCUUAUGUUCUUCGAUGAUCCAACCGCUGAGGUGUCUCCUAUGGUUAUAAACACCCGAUCAUAUGGUGACAGUAACAGAGGUUAAGAUUUGGAAAUUUCGAAGGUUGGUAUCCAGUAUGCGUUCCUCUGCACCCUCUUGGUCUUUUUGGUGCUUGCACUGCAAUCUGGAUUUGUCCGGGCUUCGACAAAAAGGGGGUUUUCAAUCUUGUUUAUGGCAAAUCUAGUAUUUUCUAAGUGGUUUGGGUUUCGUCAGCUUUGCACUUAACUGUUCCCUUCUUUCUGUGCUUGCAGCCAUUGGGUUUUCGGAGCAGUGAAUUACCCUUUUUUGGAACAGCCUUGUUUGUACAUUUGUGUUGAGGUCUCUUUAGUUCAGUCUUUCAUUAGCAUCGAGAUUUUCAAUUCAGUUUUCUUGGCUAAAAGCUCCCUUUUCUCUUUGUCAAACUACUGUUGUGUGGAGGUUCAAACAAGAUAAUAUAUUUCACCAGUGUGUUGUAUUCUGCUGCCAUGAGGUUCUUGGUCCAGAUACUUAUGUUCUUCGAUGAUCCAACUGAUGAGGUCUCUUAUGGUUAUUGACAGCUGAUAGCGCUGUAAAGUGCUCCUCCACUUUUGGUCUUCUAGCCUUUUAUCUUCUUUGCUUCCAGUUUCUUUUGGUGAUCUCGCUGCUUAUUUUCUCUGCUUCCGUUUUCUUCUGUGUAUCACACGAGCUUGAUUUUGUUUGUUGGAUGGAUGUGUGGUAAGAGU
Lycium ferocissimum is the source of this 7501-nucleotide long non-coding RNA. RefSeq lists it as uncharacterized. The record is from RefSeq and is a predicted model, not a curated record. NCBI's taxonomy places the organism in Eukaryota, Viridiplantae, Streptophyta, Magnoliopsida, Solanales, Solanaceae. The transcript has 5 exons.